Molecule: ribosomal RNA, 253 nt
Filed under: uncultured organism
Description: partial 16S ribosomal RNA
Rfam family: Bacterial small subunit ribosomal RNA
Source: RNAcentral
UACAGAGGGUGCAAGCGUUAAUCGGAAUUACUGGGCGUAAAGCGUGCGUAGGUGGUUCGGUAAGUCAGAUGUGAAAGCCCUGGGCUUAACCUGGGAAUUGCGUUUGAUACUGCAAGGCUAGAGUUUGGCAGAGGGGGGUAGAAUUCCACGUGUAGCAGUGAAAUGCGUAGAUAUGUGGAGGAACACCAGUGGCGAAGGCGGCUUCCUGGACUAAAACUGACACUGAGGCACGAAAGCGUGGGGAGCAAACAGG